RNAcentral lists this ribosomal RNA (495 nucleotides) under uncultured bacterium. RNAcentral describes it as "partial 16S ribosomal RNA". It matches the Rfam family "Bacterial small subunit ribosomal RNA", at positions 28 to 523 of the family's 1533-position model. The record is from RNAcentral.
GAUGAACGCUAGCGGGAGGCUUAACACAUGCAAGCCGAGGGGUAUUUGUAGCUUGCUACAGAGAGACCGGCGCACGGGUGCGUAACGCGUAGGCAAUCUACCUUUAUCAUAGGGAUAGCUCGGGGAAACCCGAAUUAAUACCUAAUAAUACUAGUAUAGGCAUCUAAAUUAGUUAAAAGAUUUAUCGGAUAGAGAUGAGCCUGCGUAGGAUUAGCUAGUUGGUAAGGUAACGGCUUACCAGGGCUACGAUCCUUAGGGGGCCUGAGAGGGUGAACCCCCACACUGGUACUGAGACACGGACCAGACUCCUACGGGAGGCAGCAGUGAGGAAUAUUGGACAAUGGGUGAGAGCCUGAUCCAGCCAUCCCGCGUGAAGGAAUAAGGUUCUAUGGACUGUAAACUUCUUUUAUACAGGAAUAAACCUACAUACGUGUAUGUAGCUGAAGGUACUGUAUGAAUAAGCACCGGCUAACUCCGUGCCAGCAGCCGCGGUAA